Molecule: long non-coding RNA, 476 nt
Filed under: Homo sapiens (human)
Lineage: Eukaryota; Metazoa; Chordata; Mammalia; Primates; Hominidae
Description: non-protein coding lnc-NEUROG3-2:1
Source: RNAcentral
AUGAAUGAAACUGUAUUCACUUCUUUCAUUACCCCAACAAUACUAGGCCUACCCACAGUGACCUUAAUUAUUUUAUUCCCCAUCCCCAACUGCUUAGUAAAAACUCGACUGACUUCCAUUCAACAGUGACUGUUUCAACUUGUAUUGAAACAAAUAAUAACAAUACAUAAUAUCAAGGGAUGAACCUGAUCCCUCAUAUUAAUUUCCCUUAUUAUUUUUAUUGGCUCAACUAACCUUCUAGGUCUUCUACCCCUAUUCAACUGUCAAUAAAUUUAGGAAUAGUUAUCCUUCUGUGGGCAGGAGCAGUAAUUACUGGCUUUCACUUUAAAACUAAGCCUUCCUUAGCCCACUUCCUACCACAAAGCACACCUGUCCCACUUAUCCCUAUAUUAGUAAUCAUUGAAACUAUUCGUCUUUUUAUUCAACCAAUAGCGCUAGCUGUACAGUUAACAGCCAACAUUACAGCUGGCCACUUA